UAGAGUUUGAUCCUGGCUCAGAUUGAACGCUGGCGGCAUGCCUUACACACGCAAGUCGAACGGUAACAGGUCUUCGGACGCUGACGAGUGGCGAACGGGUGAGUAAUACAUCGGAACGUGCCCAGUCGUGGGGGAUAACUACUCGAAAGAGUAGCUAAUACCGCAUACGAUCUGAGGAUGAAAGCGGGGGACCUUCGGGCCUCGCGCGAUUGGAGCGGCCGAUGGCAGAUUAGGUAGUUGGUGGGAUAAAAGCUUACCAAGCCGACGAUCUGUAGCUGGUCUGAGAGGACGACCAGCCACACUGGGACUGAGACACGGCCCAGACUCCUACGGGAGGCAGCAGUGGGGAAUUUUGGACAAUGGGCGAAAGCCUGAUCCAGCAAUGCCGCGUGCAGGAUGAAGGCCUUCGGGUUGUAAACUGCUUUUGUACGGAACGAAAAAGCUCCUUCUAAUACAGGGGGCCCAUGACGGUACCGUAAGAAUAAGCACCGGCUAACUACGUGCCAGCAGCCGCGGUAAUACGUAGGGUGCGAGCGUUAAUCGGAAUUACUGGGCGUAAAGCGUGCGCAGGCGGUUAUGUAAGACAGAUGUGAAAUCCCCGGGCUCAACCUGGGAACUGCAUUUGUGACUGCAUGGCUAGAGUACGGUAGAGGGGGAUGGAAUUCCGCGUGUAGCAGUGAAAUGCGUAGAUAUGCGGAGGAACACCGAUGGCGAAGGCAUCCCCUGGACCUGUACUGACGCUCAUGCACGAAAGCGGGGGGAGCAAACAGGAUUAGAUACCCUGGUAGUCCACGCCCUAAACGAUGUCAACUGGUUUGUUGGGAAUUAGUUUUCUCAGUAACGAAGCUAACGCGUGAAGUUGACCGCCUGGGGAGUACGGCCGCAAGGUUGAACUCAAAGGAAUUGACGGGGACUCGCACAAGCCGUGGAUAGAUUGUGGUUUAAUUCGAGGCAACCGCG
RNAcentral lists this ribosomal RNA (960 nucleotides) under uncultured Delftia sp. RNAcentral's name for it is "bacterial SSU rRNA". It matches the Rfam family "Bacterial small subunit ribosomal RNA", at positions 1 to 963 of the family's 1533-position model. The record is from RNAcentral. Lineage: Bacteria; Pseudomonadati; Pseudomonadota; Betaproteobacteria; Burkholderiales; Comamonadaceae.